CAGCAGCCGCGGGAAUACAGAGGGUGCAAGCGUUAAUCGGAAUUACUGGGCGUAAAGCGCGCGUAGGUGGUUUGUUAAGUUGGAUGUGAAAUCCCCGGGCUCAACCUGGGAACUGCAUCCAAAACUGGCAAGCUAGAGUAUGGUAGAGGGUGGUGGAAUUUCCUGUGUAGCGGUGAAAUGCGUAGAUAUAGGAAGGAACACCAGUGGCAAAGGCGACCACCUGGACUGAUACUGACACUGAGGUGCGAAAGCGUGGGGAGCAAACAGGAUUAGAUACCCGCGUAGUCCCUGUCUCUUAUAC
Molecule: ribosomal RNA, 301 nt
Filed under: uncultured bacterium
Lineage: Bacteria
Description: partial 16S ribosomal RNA
Rfam family: Bacterial small subunit ribosomal RNA
Source: RNAcentral